Molecule: ribosomal RNA, 234 nt
Filed under: uncultured bacterium
Lineage: Bacteria
Description: partial 16S ribosomal RNA
Rfam family: Bacterial small subunit ribosomal RNA
Source: RNAcentral
CGGGACGGGUGAGUAAUGUCUGGGAAACCGGCCUGAUGGAGGGGGGUAACUACUGGAAACGGUAGCUAAUACCGCAUAACAUCGCAAGACCAAAGAGGGGGACCUUAGGGCCUCUUGCCAUCGGAUGUGCCCAGAUGGGAUUAGCUAGUAGGUGGGGGAAGGGCUCACCUAGGCGACGAUCCCUAGCUGGUCUGAGAGGAUGACCAGCCACACUGGAACUGAGACACGGUCCAG